UCUGAACAAAUUCCUUCAACCUUACAUCUAUUUGUAAGGUUGAAGGAAUUUGUUCAGACU
This 60-nucleotide non-coding RNA is filed under the name Spodoptera frugiperda (fall armyworm). Lineage: Eukaryota; Metazoa; Arthropoda; Insecta; Lepidoptera; Noctuidae. The record is from RNAcentral.